UUGAUCCCAUGGCUCAGAUUGAACGCUGGCGGCAGGCCUAACACAUGCAAGUCGAGCGGUAGAGAGAAGCUUGCUUCUCUUGAGAGCGGCGGACGGGUGAGUAAUGCCUAGGAAUCUGCCUGGUAGUGGGGGAUAACGCUCGGAAACGGACGCUAAUACCGCAUACGUCCUACGGGAGAAAGCAGGGGACCUUCGGGCCUUGCGCUAUCAGAUGAGCCUAGGUCGGAUUAGCUAGUUGGUGAGGUAAUGGCUCACCAAGGCGACGAUCCGUAACUGGUCUGAGAGGAUGAUCAGUCACACUGGAACUGAGACACGGUCCAGACUCCUACGGGAGGCAGCAGUGGGGAAUAUUGGACAAUGGGCGAAAGCCUGAUCCAGCCAUGCCGCGUGUGUGAAGAAGGUCUUCGGAUUGUAAAGCACUUUAAGUUGGGAGGAAGGGCAUUAACCUAAUACGUUGGUGUCUUGACGUUACCGACAGAAUAAGCACCGGCUAA
RNAcentral lists this ribosomal RNA (494 nucleotides) under Pseudomonas sp. CL1.34. Its description in RNAcentral is "bacterial SSU rRNA". It matches the Rfam family "Bacterial small subunit ribosomal RNA", at positions 13 to 500 of the family's 1533-position model. Lineage: Bacteria; Pseudomonadati; Pseudomonadota; Gammaproteobacteria; Pseudomonadales; Pseudomonadaceae. The record is from RNAcentral.